UCGAUUGUUGUCUACAAUGAGAUGUAUAUAUACACAUUUUAAUUUGAUAGCACAAAAUAUUUGCUACCAUCUUCACAAAGACCCAUUACGCAUUGAAAAUAUGUGCACUUCCGGGUGACUGUUUGAGCAAAAAAUACAUAGGUUUGUUUAAAAAUAUAUGUGUGUAUAAAAUCAUGAUUUCUUUGGCCAUACACAUAGUAGAAUACAAAUAAGCCAGGGGACUACAUAUCAACUCCCUUGCUCUUAAAACAAAACAAUGAAACUUAUCAUUUCCUCUCUUCAGCGCAUUCUCCUCUCCUUCUCGGGUGCCCUGUGUGGCUUCCAAUGAAUCCUGCACCACCACCUCCAAAGCCAACGCAAGUGUUAUUUAGAUAGCAGAAAAACAAUGUGCAAUACAAUUAUAUAGACAUCUCUAGCAAAAUAUUGAUUGCACAUGUAGAUGGAGACUAAAACGAAGAAGGCAUUAAGAAUCAAGACAGAGAAGAUCUAGUCAUAGUAUCAACCAGGAGUCUCAAAUGAAGUACCAGUCAUGACAUAGUUAAGUUUCAGUUCAAAUAUCAUGUAAAAACUUUUCAGCUUAACUUAAAUAAAAACAUACUGAGACUCCACCAUGUGACUUCCACGUAGAAGGUUCUCAUAUAGAUGGACCGACGAGAAAAAAAUUACGACAGGUUAGACCAAAAAACAGGAAACAUUUUCCUGUCAAAGGCUCCACCUUGUGACUUCCACUUAGAAGGUUCUCAUAUAGAUGGACAAACGAGACAAAAUUACGACAGGUUAGACCAAAAAACAGGAAACAUUUUCCUGUCAAAGGUAAUUCAAAAUUAAAGAGAGGAAAAUCACAGUCUCUCGUUUUGCCAAAAUUACUGUGUCAACCUGAUUGUUUUUUAGAGGCCCAAAUUUGCUUGAUUCUGAAUAGACGACAAGGUAAACUGACUAUAAUAGUCGUCAGUUCAUACCACAACCCAAUGACUAACAAUGAACAUCUCUCUAUAUGCAAUAUGAUUUCAGAGUGAAACAUACCAUUAUUUGCUAUUGGACCAACCAAAUGUGGUUUCAACUCCACAUGAGAAAAACAAUGUAGGAACUGAAC
RNAcentral lists this long non-coding RNA (1093 nucleotides) under Triticum aestivum (bread wheat). RNAcentral's name for it is "long non-coding RNA (TAES_LNC006845)". The record is from RNAcentral. Lineage: Eukaryota; Viridiplantae; Streptophyta; Magnoliopsida; Poales; Poaceae.